RNAcentral lists this ribosomal RNA (255 nucleotides) under uncultured bacterium. RNAcentral describes it as "partial 16S ribosomal RNA". It matches the Rfam family "Bacterial small subunit ribosomal RNA", at positions 334 to 580 of the family's 1533-position model. The record is from RNAcentral.
UGGUCCUACGGGGGGCAGCAGUAGGGAAUCUUCGGCAAUGGGGGCAACCCUGACCGAUCAACGCCGCGUGAGUGAAGAAGGUUUUCGGAUCGUAAAGCUCUGUUGUAAGAGAAGAACGUGUGUGAGAGUGGAAAGUUCACACUGUGACGGUAACUUACCAGAUAGGGACGGCUAACUACGUGCCGUCAGCCGCGGUAAUACGUAGGUCCCGAGCGUUAUCCGGCUUUAUUGGGCGUAAAGCGAGCGCAGGCGGCU